GAGUUUGAUCCUGGCUCAGAUUGAACGCUGGCGGCAGGCCUAACACAUGCAAGUCGAGCGGUAGAGAGAAGCUUGCUUCUCUUGAGAGCGGCGGACGGGUGAGUAAUGCCUAGGAAUCUGCCUGGUAGUGGGGGAUAACGCUCGGAAACGGACGCUAAUACCGCAUACGUCCUACGGGAGAAAGCAGGGGACCUUCGGGCCUUGCGCUAUCAGAUGAGCCUAGGUCGGAUUAGCUAGUUGGUGAGGUAAUGGCUCACCAAGGCGACGAUCCGUAACUGGUCUGAGAGGAUGAUCAGUCACACUGGAACUGAGACACGGUCCAGACUCCUACGGGAGGCAGCAGUGGGGAAUAUUGGACAAUGGGCGAAAGCCUGAUCCAGCCAUGCCGCGUGUGU
RNAcentral lists this ribosomal RNA (395 nucleotides) under uncultured bacterium. RNAcentral's name for it is "bacterial SSU rRNA". It matches the Rfam family "Bacterial small subunit ribosomal RNA", at positions 9 to 406 of the family's 1533-position model. The record is from RNAcentral.